GUUUAUCUCUGUGAGCAUCUCCAAGGGCAGCGUGGUAUUUCAUGUAAGAGGGGGCAAGAAGAGAGGUGGUGCAGGGAUCCAGAUAAAGGAAUUCAGUUGGUUUCAGUCAUCAGAGGGCUUCCAGUGCAAACUGAAGCAUGACCGAGGCCCACAGAGGAUCUCAGAGAUCCAUGAGAGAGAUCUGGAAAUUAAAAGCAAGGGGUAAAAUCCAAGUGUUUUCUCGUCAAGAAUCCUGUGGCAGAAUGGAGCAAAGGAAAUAAGGAAGGAAAGGAAGGAUCUCUAAUCCCAAAAAGAUGGACUAGGUCAGUCUUACCAGCAGAAGACAUGGAGUACCACUCUAGUAGCCUCAAGUGCACCUGAAUGCUCAAACUGUCUGUGCCACCAUGUCCCAGCCCCUCUCUCCCACAGAGGAGCAACAGAAAGAAAUGAAACAACUGCAGUUGAGGAGGGCAAGGAGUUCAGGACGGCUCUAAUCUCCUGAACUUGUUGGUGGGGGGAUGAGGUGAGAAGCGCUUGUUCUUAUUAGCUGAGAAAUAGAAGCUUUGUCGUAAGCAAACUUCGUCAAAGUGCCUGAGCACUCCUGCUUGUGUUUCUGCUGACAUGGCCUGUAGUGGUGCUUGAUGGACUUUUGGGUGACCCCGGAUUUUAGGAGCCUGGAGAUCUUUCAGCUGCAGAAGUGGGACUCAAAGUGCAGUAACAUCCGCAAGUGGGCUGGUGAACUGCAAGACUCAUGUUUAAAAACAGGAUAAUUUUCUAUUGCAUUUCACAUUCCGUGCUGUUAAAAAGAUCUGGGAAAGUGGAAGACAGACCUGCCGUUAUUACAGUGCUUUAGAAACUUCAAAUUUACUCUGUCAGUUCCCAUGUCCAAAGAGGAAAAUGUCUUAAAAUUUCUUAAUUAUUAAAACAAUAUGAAACCAUCUUGCAGAGGUUGGAAGCUUAAACAGACAGCAAGAAGGACACCUAUGCUCCUAAAUUAGAAAUUUUAAAACUAGGUGGGAUGAAUCCAUGCUCCAUGUCUGUUUGCUCUGUGUCCUAUUAAUGGGUGGGGGUGACUUGUCUGUGCCUUCUGUCUGAUGUGCUGAAAAAAUAGUUUCUUGUUGUCCUGCACUGGCAAAGUUUUCAGCCAAGCCCUGAUUCUGGCUCCGCUUUGUCUCCACUGUCACGAGUGAUGCUCCCUGGCUGGCAUGUGCCUUGUGCUUAUCUGAAUUGCCCACAACCCUUUAAUGCUCCUCAGGCUAAUUACUGCCUCAUUAAUCAUUUGCAGUCAGUUUAUGUACUCAUCCUGUUUUCCUGCUUUCAGUGUGUUUGCAUAAGAAAAUGUGUUUCUAUGAAAUGCUUUGUACAGAAUUGUUUAUGGCAGGAAAUAGAUAUAAAAGAGCAGUUGUGUCAUUCCUGAGUGAAAUCCUCACAUGCCUGUAGGCCAAACAUCCCAGAAGGUACUGGUGAUAACUGCUGUGAGCUUCUACCUGUGCUGAGUUGUGGGUCAGGUUGUUGUGACUCUGGAGAAAAGGGACUUAAAAAUAAUAUACAACUUUAAAAUCA
Molecule: long non-coding RNA, 1542 nt
Organism: Corapipo altera (White-ruffed manakin)
Lineage: Eukaryota; Metazoa; Chordata; Aves; Passeriformes; Pipridae
Exons: 3
Source: RefSeq, a predicted model, not a curated record